UUAUAUAUAUUUAUAUUGAAAAAUAUCCAAUGCUUUUGUCAUGAAAACAAAGCGUUGAAUGGGAUACACACGUAUCACAACCACGCGCAUUAUACGUAUAAGAUAUAUACAUCAUAUAUGGUGAUUCGUACAUAACAUACCGACUUAUAGAAAUAAGUACGCAAUAUUAAGUUGUUAAACUCGUUGCUGUGAUUUAUUGUUUCAUCGUCUAAUCAUCUUUACUUCUAUCUUUUUUCAUUUGGAUAAAAAUGUCUGAGCAGUUCCUGGGUUGUACUGUUUCUGUGAAAUGUAUUGACGAUAUUACUUAUCAAGGCAAAAUUAUUGAUCUAAAUAAGAAUAGCCUGACAUUGGCAAAAACAUUUUGCAAUGGCAUACCGCAUACUUCAUCCAUUGUUAACCUAAGUGUAAAAGAUAUACAAAAGCUUGAGAUUAUAUCGA
Formica exsecta is the source of this 438-nucleotide long non-coding RNA. RefSeq lists it as uncharacterized. The record is from RefSeq and is a predicted model, not a curated record. The transcript is spliced from 3 exons. Lineage: Eukaryota; Metazoa; Arthropoda; Insecta; Hymenoptera; Formicidae.